CAGAGGCUGAGUGCGACAUGCCGUCACUUUGUCCUUAUGGUUUGUACCCGCCCGGCCUGAGAGGUGCUGUAUUUGCACAUUUCAGCCCCCUGAGCACUGACGGGUGGUGAAUAUGGAGCAGUGGGGCCCAGGCUGCACUCUCUACUUCGUUUCUCCUUCACCCUGGGCAAAAAGCUAGCAGGCUUUCCUGUUUCCGAGCUGACUGUGUGAUCUGAGCUGACUCUGAAACCUGUCAAGCACAAUGCCUGCUGUGGGAGCCACCUUCUCCAACUGACACCGCCUGACCCCAGCUUCCAGCUCACUCCCCGCUCUGUGAAGGAAGCAGCUCCAGCAUUUGUCCCUGGAGGGUCUCUGAAAGUCCAGGUCAGCCCCUGGGCUGGGUCCCCACAGUAAGAAGAGAACUGUGAUGGGCAACACCCCAGAAAAGAAGACUUGCAGCCUCACUUCAGG
Molecule: long non-coding RNA, 450 nt
Filed under: Homo sapiens (human)
Lineage: Eukaryota; Metazoa; Chordata; Mammalia; Primates; Hominidae
Description: HSALNT0298846
Source: RNAcentral